Molecule: ribosomal RNA, 492 nt
Filed under: uncultured bacterium
Lineage: Bacteria
Description: partial 16S ribosomal RNA
Rfam family: Bacterial small subunit ribosomal RNA
Source: RNAcentral
AGUGAACGCUGGCGGUAGGCCUAACACAUGCAAGUCGAACGGCAGCACAGUAAGAGCUUGCUCUUACGGGUGGCGAGUGGCGGACGGGUGAGGAAUGCAUCGGAAUCUACUUUUUCGUGGGGGAUAACGUAGGGAAACUUACGCUAAUACCGCAUACGACCUACGGGUGAAAGCAGGGGAUCUUCGGACCUUGCGCGAUUGAAUGAGCCGAUGUCGGAUUAGCUAGUUGGCGGGGUAAAGGCCCACCAAGGCGACGAUCCGUAGCUGGUCUGAGAGGAUGAUCAGCCACACUGGAACUGAGACACGGUCCAGACUCCUACGGGAGGCAGCAGCGGGGAAUAUUGGACAAUGGGCGCAAGCCUGAUCCAGCCAUACCGCGUGGGUGAAGAAGGCCUUCGGGUUGUAAAGCCCUUUUGUUGGGAAAGAAAAGCAGCAGGUUAAUACCCCGCUGUUCUGACGGUACCCAAAGAAUAAGCACCGGCUAACUUCGUG